Molecule: ribosomal RNA, 468 nt
Filed under: uncultured bacterium
Lineage: Bacteria
Description: partial 16S ribosomal RNA
Rfam family: Bacterial small subunit ribosomal RNA
Source: RNAcentral
GACGAACGCUGGCGGCGUGCUUAACACAUGCAAGUCGAACGGAAAGGCCCUGCUUUUGUGGGGUGCUCGAGUGGCGAACGGGUGAGUAACACGUGAGUAACCUGCCCUUGACUUUGGGAUAACUUCAGGAAACUGGGGCUAAUACCGGAUAGGAGCUCCUGCUGCAUGGUGGUGGUUGGAAAGUUUCGGCGGUUGGGGAUGGACUCGCGGCUUAUCAGCUUGUUGGUGGGGUAGUGGCGUACCAAGGCUUUGACGGGUAGCCGGCCUGGGAGGGUGACCGGCCACAUUGGGACUGAGAUACGGACCAGACUCCUACGGGAGGCAGCAGUGGGGAAUAUUGCACAAUGGGCGGAAGCCUGAUGCAGCAACGCCGCGUGCGGGAUGACGGCCUUCGGGUUGUAAACCGCUUUCGCCUGUGACGAAGCGUGAGUGACGGUAAUGGGUAAAGAAGCACCGGCUAACUACGUG